UCUGAAUAGGGAAUAUAUAUUUUACAAAGGCGGGCAGAUUUGUGGCUAUGGCCAGCAACGGAAUUGCUAGACACUCAAUGGGGCUAUAUAGUGCAACGCUUUGGACUAUAAAUUAGGUAAGAAUAGUUGAAUCGUAAGAAGUUGUGAUUGUUUUUCUGAUUAUUGAUUUUUGGUUAAGGUAACACCAGUGAAUUUGAACAAAAAGUAACGUAUUCUAAAAAUGAUCUGAUUUCCGUUCUCGUUGCGGGGAACAAAUGAAAAGUCUUAUCUUAAAGGGACAGUGCAUGGUAAUCACAGUGGUUUGAGUGUAUGACAGUGGAAAAAAUAUUGUGGGACGACAAUUCGAAGAGAGAAAAAUAAGUUACAUGAUACAUCAAGAGAUUUAAAACGAACGACGUGAAGGGAUCAUAAGAAUUAUUGGGUGUCAUUGUAGGAGUAAAUGUUUGGGUUAAGGUGAUUUCCCUGUUCCCAGAGACAAGGCAUUUUUAAGGCGAGCACUCACUAAUGCUGGUCUGAAUUUGUAAUUAGACAAGUGAAUAACGUAUUGGGAAUAGAGUUGUAAUUAAAAUACUAAGUCAAAGACGAGACAGGUAUUUAGAGCAAAAUGGAUUCUAAAUGAUAACAAAGAGACAAUUAUGGUUUAUGCCCAUCGCUUUUAUAAAAUUGGCGAAUUUAGAGAUGUUGGUUGGGGUGGUAAAUUAUAAUUCAGGAUUAGAACAGAUGUGAUAAAUUAGGUUUGGUUAAUCGAACAAGAAUUAUUUACAAUCCAUUUGAAGUCGCUACGAAUUGGCAGGUUGAGCGCUUGAUGAUGACGUCACUAGCGAGACACUUUUGUCACCAGAGACUGGGAAUAACGGAGCAAACUGUAUGGCUGUUAGUGUGUGUAUCGAGGCUUCGAGUAACCUUUCAGAAGUUGAGAUAAAAGUGUUUUGUUUAUUUGUUUAUUGGUUAUAGUCAAUUUUAGGGUUUGAUUUAACUUAGUUGAACAGUGUGUUCUGGCGGGUUUUAGAUAGAACUCUUUGUUCCGGAACGGAUGAAAGUUACCCAUAAGUAAGUAAAUUAAAGGAGCCAUGAGGGAAUGCGAAUGCAUAUUUAUUAAAUAUCGGGGAUUAAAUUACGGAUUCCUUACACUGCGAAAUGUACGACAUUUGCGGCAGAGAGAAAAAGUAAUGCAUUGAAUAAUAAUGUUAUCGGGUUAAUUGUAUCUAAAGGUAGCAUGGUCAUUUAAGUAAACAUAUCCGUAGACGAUGUUUAAAACUUAUGAUUAUUGAUUUGAGUCAAAGGGGAAUUAUCAUUAGGUUUUAGAGGCACGCUCACACAGGUGACUAUUUUUAUUGUAAGGAUAAAGGGAUCUUUAUGUCUAAUAUGGUAUGGCCUUUUGACCUUAUCAUGACUGGCUUCUGAGGUCUGAUCAGCCUCAGGGGAGAAUCAUUUGUAUAAUGAAUGGAAUCAUAUUAAGUUACUAGUUUUAAGGUCAAUUCAUUAGAAAUGAAGCAGUUUUGGUUGAGGGUUUAGAAUUACUGUUUGAACCGCAAAUGAGAAAGUGGUUCAGGAUUCUGUCUUAUAACAUUAGCUGUGAAGUUUUUUGAAUGGGCUAUUAGGGAGUUGGUACGGAGACUGGUUUUGAUGGUAGGGACAAAUUGUGUGGUGGUAUGGUGGUUACUGGAUUUCUGACCCUAAUUCUUGUAUUAUUUGUUAUUGAUGUGAUGUGCUGCUUGCAUCAUACCGUGUUUUAAGAAGUCUGUUACAGAUGUGGUGAAGGCUUCAGGCAUGAUGCCUUUGCUUGAUGCUCCAGUUGGAGAGGCUGAGGUGAAGCAUGCUUUGAGGGGAGGAUAAGACUGACUGAGGAUGACCCAUGUAUGUUUGUUCUCCCUGUCGUGAAGGGUGGCAUGGUGCCCACCUGGUGCUGGAUAAGAAUAGCUGAGAGGACCAGAUGGGUUAUAAGAAUGCUUUGUUCUGCUUUACUCUGUUUUACAGGACCAAAGUUUUAUUCCACACUUUGCAACACAUUAAAUCCAUGUUAUUGUCAGAUAGAAUACUGAGGGUCCCUAAGGAGAGGGCUUGUUAGUGUAGGAAGGAUUUUUAAUAUGGUUAGCAUUUAUUAGAUUAUAAGUUUUUAAAUAGUAUUAUAUUUAACAGGAAUAUAGGACAUCUAUGAGGAGUUAGGAUUAUUGUUAGGAUUAAGAUAGAUUGAUUAAGGAAUUUGGAGAAAAGCCGCUCAUAGACAUGUUUUUUUUCUAAAAGAGGGUCCAUGGGUUUGGAUGGAGCCAAACAGUGAGACAUGUAGUUCAAAUUUGGAAAACAUGAGAAACAUAGCUUUAGGCAGACAGAGGAGCCCUCCCCCGCACUGCAGAGACCUUGAAGGUUAGAGAGCAGAGAAGUUUUAGAAGGGGGGCCAGGACGAGCAAAGAUAACAUAGUGGGUAGAUAAGUUACUGAGUGGAGACAAAAGUGAGAAUUGGACAUGUGGAAAAUGAAAGGGACACUCCUAAAUGGAAUUUCGGACAUAAGGAUAAUUCACUAAAUCUUAUCUAAGUCAUUGUAUAAGAAUAAGGCAAGGUUGUUACCUGGGCAGAGCCAGGUAACAAAAGGGGGAUGGGUAAAUAGUGUUCUAGAAUAGGAUGUGACCUACGGGAUAAUAAAAAAAUAAAAAAAAUAAUUGUUAAUUGGUUUGACGAAUAAGAAACUGUUUUAUUAACCAAACCUGUAUGUCCAAGAGUUUAUGCACUACAGGUGAACUACAGGUGAAGACACUCAAUCCAGUCCCGUGGGCCACCCGGAUUCAUAUCGCACUGCGGGGGGGACUCUGGAGAGAUCAAUGACACUACAGAUGGUGCGUUAUGGGCUGGUUCCAGGUUCUGACCCAUGGAGGACUGAAGGCAUGUCUACAGAGGAAGUGGACGAAUCUGGAUCUGUCAUUUGUGGGGAAUUUAUGUUUGAUGAGAAUAGUGUUGAGAUGAAGGGGAAUUAGAUUGUAAUUUGUUUCAAUGAUUAAACAGUUUUUUAAUAAAGACUGUAAAAAGAAAAAAAAAGAAAAAAUCCUGAAAGAGGAGUUAUGAUUCUGAUGUAGGUUUAAAAACAGUUGGAGUUAAGGUUAGAUUUGAUUAAUGAUGGGUGAAGAGUCGGGUAAACAUUUAUAAUAAUAUUUUUAUUUUGUAGAUUUGAAUGUAUAAUAUUUGAUCAAAGGGAGGAUUGAUAGAGGAAAAUAUGGUUGAAAUGACUAAUUAUGUAUACAUUCCAAUCUGAAACUGACUAGUCCAAAUGCUAUAAUGUACUGUACAUGUGAGUUUUCCCUCUUGCUCCCUUUCCCAAUUGUAUAUAAUGUAGUCAGGAGUUAGUAACAAUGUAGGUCUGUUCCUUAGUUCAUUCAGUUGUACAAAUCUCCAGGUGGUGGGAACGGGCCAUCUCCAAAUGGUCGGGAAGGUUGAUUUAUGCUGACUGGCCUUGACUUCGUGCUGAUAACGCGGAGGCUUGAGAGCUAGAGGGGCCCUCUGUUUGUGAAACGGAACGUUUGGAAAACGCUGACGUCAUUUUCAGUUUAUAACCUGUGGAAAUGUGUGUAAGCAUUCAGUACUCUCUGGAAUUAAACGCUCUUACCUGGCUUUUAA
This is a long non-coding RNA of Oncorhynchus nerka (sockeye salmon), 3607 nucleotides long. RefSeq lists it as uncharacterized. Lineage: Eukaryota; Metazoa; Chordata; Actinopteri; Salmoniformes; Salmonidae. The transcript has 2 exons. The record is from RefSeq and is a predicted model, not a curated record.